Molecule: long non-coding RNA, 398 nt
Organism: Gallus gallus (chicken)
Lineage: Eukaryota; Metazoa; Chordata; Aves; Galliformes; Phasianidae
Source: Ensembl
CUUUUGCUUUAAGGGAAAGUAAUAGUAACACAUUGCUAUGGAAACCUUUUUUUUCCUGCUAGAAGUAUUUCAUCACCAAUUAUGCUGCACUUUCUGCAUCUCAGAACUCCAUAAGUCAUCUCCAAAGAUGGACACUGGCCACAGCUGCAUAUGCGUCUGAUCCGUGAUCUACGGACACGGCUACAUCUUUCUGAGGUAUCAAUACUGUGAGAACAUCUCAUCUUCACUUCUUGCUUCUAUGUCUACAAACAGAUUUUCAGUAGGUGACAAAUGGCAUCAUAUAUAUGAAUCACCCAGGUGAAUGAGUUAUUUUGAAUUGCAUUACUCAUACCACUCUGUUGAUGCUUCAUGAAGAGCUCAGAUUGGAUGUUCUAUGUAGAAGCAUAAGUACCUUUCCC